CGUACGGGAUUAGAUACCCCGGUAGUCCUGGCCCUUUACGUAUGUCCACUAGCUCGGUGAGGUUCUAAUGCUUUGCUGGCCGUUACUAAAGCGUUAAGUGGUCCGCCUGGGGAGUACGGUCGCAAGGCUAAUACUCAAAGGAAUUGACGGGGGCUCACACAAGCGGUGGAGCAUGUUGCUUAAUUCGAUGCUACGCGAAGAACCUUAUCCUGGGCUUGACAUACACGGAUGCCCUCCUGGAAACAGGUCGGGUUGCCAUUCGGGGUGAAACGUACACAGGUGCUGCAUGGCUGUCGUCAGCUCGUGUCGUGAGAUGUUGGGUUAAGUCCCGUAACGAGCGAAACCCUUGUCGCUAGUUGCCAGCGCGUAAUGGCGGGGACUCUAGCGAGACUGCCGGUGUUAAACCGGAGGAAGGUGGGGAUGACGUCAAGUCCUCAUGGCCUUUAUGCCCAGGGCUGCAAACGUGCUACAAUGGUAGGGACAGAGCGACGCAAGACCGUGAGGUGGAGCAAAUCGCAAAAACCCUGCCCCAGUUCGGAUCGGAGUCUGCAACUCGACUCCGUGAAGUCGGAAUCGCUAGUAAUCGCGCAUCAGCGUGGCACGGUGAAUGUGUUCAUGAGCAUUGUACACACCGCCCGUCAAGUCAUGGAAGCUGGGAGCACCCGAAGUCGGGGCGAAUC
RNAcentral lists this ribosomal RNA (680 nucleotides) under uncultured organism. RNAcentral describes it as "bacterial SSU rRNA". It matches the Rfam family "Bacterial small subunit ribosomal RNA", at positions 769 to 1440 of the family's 1533-position model. The record is from RNAcentral.